ACUACGGGUGGCAGCAGUGGGGAAUAUUGCACAAUGGGGGAAACCCUGAUGCAGCGACGCCGCGUGAGUGAAGAAGUAAUUCGUUACGUAAAGCUCUAUCAGCAGGGAAGAAAAUGACGGUACCUGAGUAAGAAGCCCCGGCUAACUACGUGCCAGCAGCCGCGGUACCACGGAGGGGGCCAGCGUUAUCCGGAUUUACUGGGGGUAAAGGGUGGGUAGACGGGGCGGCAAGUCUGGAGGGAAAUGCCGGAGGUUAACUGCGGAACUGCUUUGGAAACUGGCGAACUAGAGUGCGGGAGGGGUAAGCGGAAUGCCUGGUGUAGCGGUGAAAUGCGUAGAUAUUAGGAGGAACCCCGGUGGCGAAGGCGGCUUACUGGACCGUAACUGACGUUGAGGCUCGAAAGCGUGGGGAGCGAACAGGAUUAGAUACCCCGGUAGUC
This 440-nucleotide ribosomal RNA is filed under the name uncultured bacterium. Its description in RNAcentral is "partial 16S ribosomal RNA". It matches the Rfam family "Bacterial small subunit ribosomal RNA", at positions 338 to 795 of the family's 1533-position model. The record is from RNAcentral.